GUUGGCCUUGUCCAUCCAACACUUGAAUUCACUGGUCCAAUUGCCAAUUGGAUGUGGAGAGCAGAACAUGAUCCACUUGCUCCAAAUAUUUAUGUGCUCCAAUACCUGGACAGGUCCAACCAAGAGAAUAAAGAGAUGAGGAGCACGGCUUUGAGCUAUAUGUUUGAAGGCUAUCAAAGACAGCUAUCCUACCAAAAAGAUGAUGGAUCCUUCAGUGCUUUUGGUGCUCAAGAUCCUGCUGGUAGCACAUGGCUGACAGCCUUCGUCCUGAGGUGCUUCCUCCAGGCUCAACCCUACAUGCACAUUGACGAAACGGUCAUAAUAGAGCCAGAACUUGGCUCAUGGCCUCCAGGGCCCCCAAGGAGAAUUCUCUGAGGUGGGGCGCUUGAUGCACACAGCGAUGCAAGAAGGACUGGACAACGGCCCUGUGGCCCUCACUGCUUUUGUUAUGAUGGCCCUACUGGAGAAAAAACUUAUGUGGACAAGCACUAUGACAAAGUAUCCCUGACCAUAACGUACCUGGAGAGAAGUGUAACCAGUGAAGUGCUCAGCAACUACACAUUGUGUUUAGCAGCGUACGCGUUAGCUCUGGCCAACAGUUCUGUGGCUGGCACAGCGCUGGAGGAACUGAGCACCAGAGCUGACUACAGAGAUGGCAUCAUGAUGUGGGCAUCCUCUGCUGGCCCGGACGUACAUGAGGGCCAACCACACUCGUCUCAGGUAGAAAUGGCCUCAUAUGUAAUGCUGACACAUAUUCAGCGUGGAAGCUAUGUGGAGGGCAUCCCGUUUCUCAAGUGGUUAAUCAAGCAAAGGAACUUCUUGGGUGGCUACAGGAGCACACAGGACACAAUAGUUGCCCUCCAGGCAAUGGCCUACUAUGCUGCAUUUAGUGGCUCCAGCUCCAUCAACCUCCGUCUCCUUGUAUCUUCCUCGAAUUCUUCUUUUACCUUUCCCAUCAACUCCACAGCUAUUUGGCAUACCAGCAGCAUGAGAUCAAUGCUGACCAGGACAUACAUCUACAUAUAUACAUAGAAGGAAGAGGAUUUGCCGUAUUUCAGAUGAAUGUCUUUUACAACCUGGAGAGCGAAGCAUUUUUACAGAACCAAGUUUUGCAUGCCAGAAACCAGGAGGAUUUUGUUUAAAAGUGGACGUGACGGAAGAGGAAAACCACGAUUACUUGUUCUUAUCUGUGUGUGUCAGGCUGAAGAGCAAUCAAGUGAUUCCUCACACAGGCAUGGUUAUCCUGGAUGUCGGCCUGCUCAGUGGUUUUGCUCUCGCCGCUGGCGCUGCUGCCUCAAUACAAUCAAUAAGAAAGGUGGAAACAUUGCCUCAGAAAAUCACCCUCUACCUGGAUUCACUCAACAAGUCAGAACUUUGCAUCCCACUUUCAUUGGUCAGAGUUUUUAAGUGCCCGAAUUCAAGAUGCACUGGUGCAGGUUUAUGACUACUAUGAGCCGACGAGACGAGCAGCGACAACAUAUAAUUCAGAAAUUCUUCGCCUCAUGGACGCUUGUGACUUCUGUGGUGAAGACUUGCAUCUGUGUCUGCUGGGAAUCCCAUCGUGGUGUCCUCAUCAGUGCCCUCAAUACAUAGCACCACGUGUAGCCUUUGUUGGGUAAUACUUGGAAUAACUUUGCUUAUUGCAGUCUAAUUUGAUUGGAAUGUUCGCACCGGUGGUCAGCAGGUCUACCUGAGGCAAUGUGAUGAAGAAAGAUGAAGGAAGCCAAUUGUAUAAAGCAGGUAAAAUUGGAGGACAACUU
This is a long non-coding RNA of Syngnathus acus (greater pipefish), 1760 nucleotides long. RefSeq lists it as uncharacterized. NCBI's taxonomy places the organism in Eukaryota, Metazoa, Chordata, Actinopteri, Syngnathiformes, Syngnathidae. The transcript is spliced from 11 exons. The record is from RefSeq and is a predicted model, not a curated record.